Molecule: long non-coding RNA, 9058 nt
Filed under: Sorghum bicolor (sorghum)
Lineage: Eukaryota; Viridiplantae; Streptophyta; Magnoliopsida; Poales; Poaceae
Description: long non-coding RNA (SBIC_LNC018401)
Source: RNAcentral
UUCAGGGCAAUACCAGCCUUGGCAUCGAAGAUGCUCGACCUAAGUGGGAAGCACCAAAGUGACAAAUGAAUACGGAGAUUACACAAACAGAUGAAUCAGAGGACACCAUCAGAAUUCGACAUAACAGUGUGCCAUAAUAAUCAGUUAUGUUGCCUCCCAAUUGGUACAAAGCAAAGGCAUACCUGCUGUCACCAACGAAGUCGGUGGAAACCAAAUCCUCCUCCACAUAGCCCAUGAUACCCUUGAGUGGUCCCUCAGAAGCAGCCCUGUAAAGCAAUAGCAAUUAAGUAAAUGUUGCCAUCAAUCCUUACCAAAAAAGAUGGAUAAUAAACUACUAUAAGUUCAAGAUAGAUGCAGGAAACAUAAAAAGUGAACAUCGAAUGUGAUAGUAAGAGAUAAUUCCAACAAGGAGUGAUACUACAUUCAUAUGCAUUGGUUAAAAAAGAACAAUGCACUCACAUUCACUGAAUAUUAAAAAAAUAAAUGGACUAAUCACUUACUUAAUAGCUUUCUUGAUAUCCCCAUAGGAGGCACCCUUCUCGAUUCGGACAGUGAGGUCAACAACUGACACAUCCACGGUGGGAACCCGGAAGGACAUACCAGUGAGCUUGCCAUUCAAAUCAGGAAGAACCUUACCAACAGCCUGCAAUUCAUACCAAAAGUCAAUAUACAGCAUUCCAUCUAUAAUCAUCAGAAUAGAAUGGAUGUCGACUUUAAACUAGAAAAAUGAGGUGAACAACAACCCAAACUAAAGAGGAAGUAUAGGUUCAGUUAGAACUAAAAUGGCAAUCAACCAGGCCUGUUAAUGCUUAAUGCUCAUUUAGCUGUGUGUAUAUGCCCAUAUGGCUAUGUAAAUUAGCUAUAUAAUAACUCAUGCAGCAACAGGCAGCUACAUAAAAUGCACAUACAUUGGCAUUAAAAAUUUAUUCAUGAAGCUACAUGAAACCAAAACACAGCAAAACAAUAAUUUAGUACAAUCAGCAGGCCAAGUCAGUGUGAAAAAAUGACCAAUACUUACAAAAAGAAAAUUAUAUUAGCUCACUCCAUCCAACAUUGUGAAUUACUGAAUUUAUUAUAUACCUUGGCAGCUCCAGUGCUGCUGGGGAUGAUGUUAAAGCUAGCAGCCCUGCCACCUCUCCAGUCCUUGGCUGAGGGUCCAUCAACAGUCUUCUGGGUGGCUGACAGAUAAGUACCACACAGUCAUUAUACAGCCAUCUAAAUGUAUCUUCUCAAUAAUACUAAGAGGGGAGAUAGCUCGACAGCCAAAGAAAACUUACCAGUGAUGGCAUGAACAGUUGUCAUCAGACCCUCGAUGAUACCAAAGUUGUCAUGGAUGACCUAAUUAAUGGCAUUAGACACCAUUAGUAAAUCAAACUGCAUCAGAAGAGCAGACAACUAAAAAGAGCACCCAAAUAAGAGGCGGGAAAACACACCUUGGCAAGGGGAGCCAGGCAGUUUGUUGUGCAGCUAGCAUUGGAAACAAUGUUAAUAUCUGAGGUGUACUUGUCCUCGUUGACACCAACAACGAACAUGGGCGCAUCUUUGCUUGGGGCAGAGAUAACAACUUUCUUGGCACCACCCUAUAUAAUAAUUCAAAAAAAGGAAAAUACAGCUAUCAGCAACAUCCAAAUUAACAGGGAAAUUUACAAGGAUCAAGGCAAUCUGCCAAGAAAGCAUAGUACAUGGGUGUAUUCCUAGUCACGACACUAAAUCAUCCUGUCUGUCAAUUUCUAGAUUCUCUAUAAAGACUCCAGUAACUCUUAUAUAACAAAACUAACAUUAGGCAACUACUACGAAAAACCAAGACAUCGAGUUGUUACAGCUUAUCAGAAGCAUAGAACCAAUUGAAUUUACUAAAGGUUAGUGUACUAGUAAUCCCAGCUCUGCCUGGUUGCAGAUUGUGAGUUUGCCAGCUGUACUAAUAAGAAAGUUUUCUGGUGAAAAAUAGGACACAAUGUGCUAAGCCCAAACACUAGAUAGCCAUCACUCAAUUUGUCCACCGCAUGUAAAUGAUCAAACAAAUGCUUAUAGUCAGGAAUAAUGAUACGCAAACAACCUGCAAACAUUCUGAAACAGCCAUAGGAUCAUGAAGCAGCAAUUAUACCUUCAAGUGAGCCGCAGCCUUAUCCUUGUCAGUGAAGACACCAGUGGACUCCACGACAUAGUCAGCACCAGCCUCGCCCCACGGGAUCUCCUCAGGGUUCCUGUAGAAUUGCAGCAGUUGAAACAUUAGCUCACAGCUUGAAGACAAACUCAAACCCAUCCAUGAUAGAAGCAGGAGAGGGUAGUUAGUACCUGAUGCCAAAGACGGUGACCGGCUUCUGACCGAAGAGAAGGGUCUUGGAGUCCUUGAGGGUGAUGUCACUGUGCUUCCAGUGGCCGUGCACCGUGUCAUACUUGAACAUGUAGGUCUACGCAAGAUGGGGAGCAGAUAAACCAUGAGCACGGCACACAGAUUUCAAAAUCCAGAAACUGAAGUAAGCACCAAAUCCACAACACCUCAAGCUGAUACUGAUACUGAUACUGACAGUAUAAUAUAUUGUAGUAGAGCAACAGAGCCAGUAGAACCCCCAGAUCUACGGAGAGACCCAGUACAGAAUUGAAGUCAAACGACUCCGAACGCCACGAUUAACUGAAUCGAGCAUGCUUAGCUGACGGAUCGGUGCUAAACCCACCCUAAACCUUCUAAACCACCAGAUCUAUCAUGUGGCACGGAACAAACGCAACAGAUCGAGGCGCGUACCAUGUAGUCCGUGGUGAUGAAGGGGUCGUUGACGGCGACCAGCUCGACAUCCUCGCUCUGAAGCGCGACCCUGGCCACGAGCCUGCCGAUCCUUCCGAAACCUGAGCGAAACCACACACACGCAGACGCAGGGAGAACCAGUCAGAAGACUUCCAGACCCAACAAACCGAGCAGGAAGAACUAGUUUGGGGUAUAAACUCACCGUUGAUUCCGAUCUUAAUCUUGCCUGCAUCCAGAAAUCCAUCCAGGAAAAAUAAAAUAAAAAAGUCAGCAAACCCCCUUUGGUCAGAUCUGAGCACGGAGCAGGAGGGAACAGCAGCAACUAGACUGAGAAACCCAGAAACCCGACGCGGCAGGGAGAGAGGAAGUACCCAUGGCGAGUUGAAGAACGAGGACGACGGAGAUAGGAGAUGCUCGAGAUGAAGGAAGCGGAUAUGGGUGGUGGAGAGGGUUUUAGCCCUUGUGUCCUUUUAAAGCCGACGAUACACGAGAGAGAUGAGAAAAAGCAGAUUUAUUGCUAUAAUUGUAAGUAAAUAAAUAAAUAAAGGAGAGUGAGCGAAAUGCAACUAGAGAAAGUGAUCUGAAGAAAGAUGAUGAGGUGCGGGGGUGACCUGUCCGUCCGCCUUUCUCUAGAAGGCGCAGGCAAGGUGAGGUGUCGUCGAUGACGUGUAGGCCCAGUCAUUGCUAUGGCCCACGUGUCAUUGAAAGCGAUGGCCGCUACAGCGGGUGCUUUUGGCUGCUUGGUGUUGUCCGCGCGUGGUUUGUGACGCCAGAAGUAGAAAGGCAUAUUCCCCGCUUCCUUUCUUGGGGAACAAUGCCGGCAAAGAAUUGUAACUGCUAUUUCAGCUUUUUUAGUAGUGUGUUUAGAAAUUUAGCUAAUAAAGUGAUUAAAAUUUGGCUAGCUAAAAUUUAGCAAAGAGAACCAAACAAAUUCUUAUAUUUAAAAAGAAAAAAAAAAAGAAAUCGAAGGCCUUGUUUAGUUACAAAAAUUUUGCAAAAUGACUAAAAUUUAGCUUGCUAAAAUUUAGCAAGGAGAACCAAACAAACCCUUAUAUUUAAAAAGAAAAAAGAAAAGAAAUCCAAAGCCUUGUUUAUUUAUAAAAAUUUUGAAAAAUGAACACUGUAGCAUUUUCGUUUGUAUUUGAUAAAUAUUGUUCAUUCAUGAAUUAACUAAGUUCAAAAGAUUCAUCUCAUAAAUUAUAGAUAAUUGUACAAUUAGCUAUUUUUUUAUUUUUAACGUGGCUUUAUUUGGCUCUAGCUUUUUCUAUGAUGCACCGAAGAAAUAGAGCCGAUGAAAUGGAAGGAGCCGAGAACAAAUAAAAUGGCUCGUUGCUAUAAUGGAGUUACAGAAUACAGAGGAGCCGAAGUUAGAUAUAGCUCUAGCCAAACACAAAGCCUUGAAAUGUGUCAAUAUUUACAUUCGUAUUUGGGGGAAUGAGAACCGAAUUAAGAUUGAAGAAAUACGGGAUAUUUGCAGUGGUGAGGAACAGAAGAGGUUACUAACGAGUUUGUGUGCCCACGAUGAAAUAGCGGCUCCUGCAAGAGUUUGGGAAAGAGGCUUGUGAUACCCGUUUUACGUGAGUUAAAAGUAAGACUAAGAGCUUGUUUAGUUCCUCUUGCUAAAUUUUAGUUAGUUAAAACUAUUUUAGUUAAUCUUAGGUGACUAAUAAGAUUAAACUAUUUUAAUUUCUUUUUAAUCAGUAUUUGGCUACUAAAAUGACUAAAGGGAAACCAAAUAGACCUUAACUAAACAUCUAGACAACUAAACAAUUCAACCUUGCAUUUCAUGGAUCAGGCCUUGUUUACUUCCCAAAAAUUUUUGCAAAAUUUUUCAGAUUUCCCGUCACAUCGAAUCUUUAGACAUGUGCAUGGAGUAUUAAAUAUAGACAAAAAUAAAAACUAAUUGUAUAGUUUGGUCGAAAUUGACGAGACGAAUCUUUUGAGCCUAGUUAGUGCAUGAUUGGACAAUAUUUGUCAAAUACAAACGAAAGUGCUACAGUACCUGUUUUGCAAAUUUUUUUGGAACUAAACAAGGCCUCAAUCAUGCGAGCUGAUCUACAGCCAACAAAUCACAGUGUGAGACGGUGAGGUGGUGGAGCCGCGCUUUUGCUCGUCCGUUAUAGAAUCAUCUUUUUGUUAGGUAAGGUAACAACAAGCUUGCAUUGCAGUCUUAUUCAGCAGGGCUCGUACCGUUUCUAUAGCUAUUAGCUAAACCAUUGGACUUGUAGCACGGAGUGUAAAGCUACAUUUUAGGCCUUGUUUAGUUUACCCAAAAAAACUAAAAACUUUUUAAGAUUUCUCGUCACAUUUUGCGGCACAUACAUGGAAUAUUAAAUAUAAAUGAAAACAAAACUAAUUGCACAUUUUGUCUAUAAAUCGCGAGACGAAUCUUUUAAGCCUAGUUACUUCAUAAUUAGACAAUGUUUAUCAAAUAAAAACGAAAGUGCUACAAUGUGAAAAUCCAAAAACUUUUUGGAUUUAAACAAGACCUUAGUACUGUGGGUGCUCUUACACGUUAGAGACAGAUCACUCGUGUUCUUCCCUUUGCCAAGUUGCCAAGAUCCUUUUUCGGAGAUAGAAGCACCCUCAUGCGUAAUGAUUGUCGCAAUUAGUUAUUUUUUAUCUAUAUUUAAUGUUUCAUGCAUGUGCUGUAAAAUUUAAUGUUAUAAAAAAACUUAUUUUUUUUUAAUUUUAGGUGAAACUAAACAAGGCUCAAGCUGCCAAGGCUUUUUUUCGGAGAUCAGGAGCACUCCUAUGUAACGACGGCGACAGUCCACGUGAAAACCACGUCGGGCCAGGCGCGCGUGGUGCGCCCCCGGGGCAUCCCGUGCUUUGUCGACCGCCAGCCAGGCAGUGGCGGAUCUAGAAUUUUAAUCAUGAGGGUACGAACGAAAACGAUAUAGUUCAUCGAUAUGAACAUAACAUAAUUAGAUCACUAAACGGUAAUAAAAUAGUUGUGAAUAUAGAGUGUUAAGGUUGUUAUAUAAGCUGAGUAGACUAGCAAUUAUGUAUAACAAUGUAUUAUACAUAUAUAUAUUAUUAAAAAGUAUACAUAUUAAAUGUUUUUCAAAAAAAUUUGGGGGGACAGCUGUCCCCCCAUGCUACUACUCUAGAACCGCCACUGCAGCCAGGGAGCAACAGCUUAUCCAAUUAUGGACUAGCUAGAAUUAAAAAAAAAUUAUCUCGCGAUUUCUAGACAAAUUGUAUAAUUAUUUUUUUAUUUUUUUUACUAUACUUAAUACCCUAUGCAUAUAUCGUAAGAUUUAAUAUGACAAAAAUCUUUUAAGUUUUUAGUUUUUAGGGUCAGGGCCUGUUUAGUUUCUAUUGCUAAACUUAAGCUAACUAAAAUUUAAUCACUUUAGUAGCUAAAAUUUUAAAUACACUAACUAAAAAGAAACUAAAAUAAUUUUAGUACUAUUAGUCACCAAGAGUAGCUAAAAUAAUUUUAGCUAGAUAAAAUUUAGCAAAGCCCCAAACUGGCCUUGUUUAGUUGCAAAAUAUUUUGCAAAAUAUGAAUAGUAUCAAUUUCGUUUGUAUUUGAUAAAUAUUGUCCAAUCAUGGACUAACUAGGCUCAAAAGAUUCGUCUCGUCAAUUUCGACCAAACUGUGUAAUUAUUUUUUAUUUUUAUCUAUAUUUAAUACUUCAUACAUACGUAUAAAGAUUUGAUGUGACGGAGAAUCUGAAAAAUUUUAAAAAAUUUUCUCGGAACUAAACAAGGCCUAAACACGGCCCGAAAAAACGAGAUGUGCCCGUUGGUCCUCGGCUUCAGAUUUCCGAUAAACGUUGGCCACUUGACCCCUUUUGUACUGGAUGCUUCUUCCCUUCCUCGGCUGGCGGCUGCACCCAACUCGCAAGUCGCAAGUGGCGAAUGAAAGCAGCAGCCGCCCCGCACGGCCUGUGUCGACGACCGUACCCCGAGUUUGGAAAACGUCCACGUCGUGGCUCGUCAGAGGCUUCAAAUCCUGUCGACGGCAGCAGCUGCGGCGGCUCUCGCGCUCGCCGCCGGCCGGAUUUGGAUUGCCUCACGCAGGCGGUGGCAUCCAGACAACCGGGGCGCGGGCCCCCAUGCAGUUCACGUUUGCGAUCCCGGCAUUCCCUUUCCCAGCAAGCUCACGAGGCGCUGAUUGAACUUUAUAUAAAAAUUCCUGUUUACAACAAUGCGCUAUUAAUAUUCCGAGAGUGAGAGAUCAAAAUUCUAUAUAUGGUGUUAUUUGUGCAGCGCUCUGUUUUCAACAAUGCGCUGUUCAUUCUUCAAUGAAAGAUCUAGUAGUAAUUAAGCUUACAUGAAUUGGCCUUUGCUCAGACUUGCUGCUAGAAAACAAUGAUAAAGUUCUGGUAAGGUAAACAUUUUUAGUAUAAUUGCUUGGUUAUUAAAAUAUUUUUACAAUGGUUGGAGAGACGAUGAAAAGUGAUUCAUGUGUCUAUAGUCGGUAGAAUGAAAGCGAUUGGAGCAAGACAAUGGGAAGUGAUAGGUGUGUCUAUAAUAAGUGGACCAUAAACGUCAUUAGAACUCUAAAUAUAGAAAUGGUAAUUUCUUUUUUCAUAUUUCUGUUUUUAAUGAAAGAUAAAAGGGUAAAUUUAUAAUUAUAAAAAUAAUAUUUUAAAUAGUAUAGUUAAGGUGUAUGAUUCACAUACUAUAGUUAGUUAAAAAAUCUUCUUUUAAGUUUUUUAAAAUCUUCUUAGGGUUCCACCCAUCGGCGUCCACUAGUGCAUGCUAUAUGAAGCCGUCGUCGCCGAUGAUAGGGAUUAAAGUUUAAGAGAAGCUUGUAAAAAGAACCACCAAAAGUAAAUAAAAAGACCAACUGAUAACAUAAAUGAGAAUACACGGCGAAUAACAUUGAACACACGAAGGACUUAAGAACACAGAAACAUGACGAAUCAAGAAACUAUUAUUCCCAAAGACCAGCUCAUCUAUGCAACCAAACCAGCACAGCAAAAUUGCAACCCCACUGUUUAUAUUCUUCACAAGCAAAAAACUAAACUCAGGUCCCAUAUUAGUGAAUUUGUUACAGGAUGGUAGCAGAAAUGGAAACACAAAACAUGUUCAGACCCAGCAUGGAGCGGGCGUCCAGAGGCACCAUUCACAUUUAUUCUCAGCAUAGACAAGCAGCGGGAUGGACAGCGACCAAGGCCAUUGGGAUGCUAUGGAAAGCAGAAAAAUCUCUACUGGGUCUUGAACAUGUGGCGGAUCAGGUCGACAACACGGUUGCUGUAGCCCCACUCGUUGUCGUACCACGAGACAAGCUUGAUGAAGUUGUCGUUCAGGGCAAUACCAGCCUUGGCAUCAAAGAUGCUCGACCUAAGUGGGAAGCAGCAAAGUGACAUGAAUACGGAGAUUACACAAACAGAUGAAUCAGAGAACACCAUCAAAAUUCAACAUAACAGUGUGCCAUAAUAAUGUUAUGUUGGCUCCUAAUAAUUGGUACAAAGCAAAGGCAUACCUGCUGUCACCAACGAAGUCUGUGGAAACCAAAUCCUCCUCCACGUAGCCCAUGAUACCCUUGAGUGGGCCCUCAGAAGCAGCCCUGUAAAGCAAUAUCAAUUAAGUAAAUGUUGCCAUCAAUCCUUACCAAAAAAGAUGGAUGGAUAAUAAACUACUAUAAGAUCAAGAUAGAUGCAGGAAACAUAAAAAGUGAACAUCAAAUGUGAUAGUAAGAGAUAAUUCCAACAAUGAGUGAUACUACAUUCAUAUGCAUUGGUUUAAAAAAGAACAAUACUCACAUUCACUGAAUAUUAAAAAAAAAUGGACUAAUCACUUACUUAAUAGCUUUCUUGAUAUCCUCAUAGGAGGCACCCUUCUCGAUUCUGACAGUAAGGUCAACAACUGACACAUCCACGGUGGGAACCCGGAAGGACAUACCAGUGAGCUUGCCAUUCAAAUCAGGAAGAACCUUACCAACAGCCUGCAAUUCAUCAAUACCGAAGUCAAUAUACAGAUGUCGACUUUACACUAGAAAAAUGAGGUGAACAACAACCCAAACUAAAGAGGAAGUAUAGGUUCAGCUAGAACUAAAAUGGCAAUCAACCAGGCCUGUUAAUGCUUAAUGCUCAUUUAGCUGUGUAUAUGCUCAUAUGCCUAUGUAAAUUAGCUAUAUAAUAACUCAUGUAGCAACAGGAAGCUACAUAAAAUGCACAUACAUUGGCAUUAAAAAUUUAUUCAUGAAGCUACAUGAAACCAAAACACAGCAGAACAAUAAUUUAGUACAAUCAGCAGGCCCAAGUCAGUAUGAAAAAAUGAUCAACACUUACAGAAAUAACAAAUAUUAACUCACUCCAUCCAACAUUGUGAAUUACUGAAUUUAUUAUAUACCUUG